AUAUUGUAUACUUACUUAACGAGCAACGUGAAGUUUACUGUCUGUUCUUCUACUACAAUCUACUGACGCACGUGGUGCGUCGAUCCAGUCGUGUAACAACGUGGUACUACUGUUGCAAUUUUGAUCUCAGAAUGCAAGUGGAGACACGCCUACCCUCCACGUACAGUUUCCAGGAUACUGAAGUUUAAUAUGAGUAAGAGGAAAAAGAAGAUGAGAGAGGAAAAAGGACAGAUGGUCCCUCUAGAAAAUUGGACGCAGUCCAGAGGAAACGCUGAACAAGAGGAAAAUGUAACGCAAUAUACAAUGUAAUGAAUGGUACACCCAGUGUGUCGUUAAAAUAAUGUACACUCUUAACCUGUAUCUCUUUUAUAAAUACAGUGAUGCAACCUAGGCAUCUCGAUUAGCAACUUUCUCACAUUUUUAUUAUAUAUAUAUAUAUAUAUGUGAAAACAAUUUUCGAUAUUACUGUAAAUAUGCUGUAAAUAUGUUGAUCAUCAGUUUCGUCACAUUUUUAUAAUUAAUAUAUGUAAACGAUUUUCAGUGAUUUCUCGUCUUUCUGCCAUUAAAAUUCAAAGGCAGCGUUAUUCGUUCGAAAAGCGGAAUUCGAAACUUUAAAUAGAACGUUGUCAACGAUUUCAAAAUGUCUGUUCUGCAAACUACGAGAAUUUAAUUAUAUAAAAGGGUUGUUUCAAUGUACGGUCGAAAAGCACAAAGAAUUCGUAAGCAACAAUAGCGAAACGAAACAUUGUUAUCGAACAGUGGCCUGUCUCGCGUUAGAUUAAGCUGUCCGGUCUUUUCUAAGGCUGACCGUUGUAAUCUCCGCAAAUCGAGUUGCGGUAAACAAGUAUCUGCCUGAAAACCUUCAAUUACUACGUUCCAACCAAUUAAACCGAAACAUUUUCACCGAUUGUACAAGUAUAAUAUCACAUGCUUCUUACAUGCCUUGUAUGCCUGGGAAAGUCGAAUAAUUUGUUAAUUAAUAUCUAAAGUUUUAUCAUUCGAGUCUUCGUUGCGUUGAUUUGAUCUGUUAUUUUAUGCGAGAAGAACCAAAUUUAUGAAUUCUAGAAAUAAUAAAAUUUUUCUAUUUCAGACUAAUGGGACGCUUUUAGUUAAAUAUAACAGAAUCCUCUGACAACUC
Molecule: long non-coding RNA, 1138 nt
Organism: Bombus terrestris (buff-tailed bumblebee)
Lineage: Eukaryota; Metazoa; Arthropoda; Insecta; Hymenoptera; Apidae
Exons: 2
Source: RefSeq, a predicted model, not a curated record